AACGAACGCUGGCGGCGUGCUUAACACAUGCAAGUCGAACGUGAAAGGCUUCGGCCGAGUAAAGUGGCGCACGGGUGAGUAACGCGUGGGUAAUCUGCCCUUGGGCGGGGGAUAACCUCUCGAAAGGGGGGCUAAUACCGCAUGAGACCACGGCUUUUCGGGGCUGUGGGAAAAGGUGGGUCGCAAGGCCUGCCACCUGAGGAUGAGCCCGCGUACCAUUAGGUUGUUGGUGGGGUAAUGGCCUACCAAGCCGAAGAUGGUUAGCUGGUCUGAGAGGACGAUCAGCCACACUGGGACUGAGACACGGCCCAGACUCCUACGGGAGGCAGCAGUGGGGAAUAUUGCGCAAUGGGGAAACCCUGACGCAGCAACGCCGCGUGUGUGAAGAAGGCCUCGGUUGUAAGACGACUUCUAGUGGGAGGGAAAGGACGUAGGU
Molecule: ribosomal RNA, 436 nt
Filed under: uncultured bacterium
Lineage: Bacteria
Description: bacterial SSU rRNA
Rfam family: Bacterial small subunit ribosomal RNA
Source: RNAcentral